RNAcentral lists this non-coding RNA (61 nucleotides) under Lacicoccus qingdaonensis. The record is from RNAcentral. Lineage: Bacteria; Bacillati; Bacillota; Bacilli; Caryophanales; Salinicoccaceae.
CGUAGUAACAACGAACUGUGAGAAGUCAGCCGAGGUCGUAGUAGGUUGAAUACCGAAGGAC